Molecule: ribosomal RNA, 400 nt
Filed under: uncultured bacterium
Lineage: Bacteria
Description: bacterial SSU rRNA
Rfam family: Bacterial small subunit ribosomal RNA
Source: RNAcentral
GGGGAAUAUUGCACAAUGGAGGAAACUCUGAUGCAGCGACGCCGCGUGAGUGAAGAAGUAUUUCGGUAUGUAAAGCUCUAUCAGCAGGGAAGAUAGUGACGGUACCUGACUAAGAAGCACCGGCUAAAUACGUGCCAGCAGCCGCGGUAAUACGUAUGGUGCAAGCGUUAUCCGGAUUUACUGGGUGUAAAGGGAGUGUAGGUGGCAUGGCAAGUCAGAAGUGAAAGCCCAGGGCUCAACCCUGGGACUGCUUUUGAAACUGCCGAGCUAGAGUGCAGGAGAGGUAAGUGGAAUUCCUAGUGUAGCGGUGAAAUGCGUAGAUAUUAGGAGGAACACCAGCGGCGAAGGCGGCUUACUGGACUGUAACUGACACUGAGGCUCGAAAGCGUGGGGAGCAAAC